This 253-nucleotide ribosomal RNA is filed under the name uncultured bacterium. Its description in RNAcentral is "partial 16S ribosomal RNA". It matches the Rfam family "Bacterial small subunit ribosomal RNA", at positions 524 to 776 of the family's 1533-position model. The record is from RNAcentral.
UACGUAGGGGGCAAGCGUUGUCCGGAAUCAUUGGGCGUAAAGAGCGUGUAGGCGGCCAGAAAAGUCCGCUGUGAAAACUCGAGGCUCAACUUCGAGCUGUCGGUGGAAACUUUGUGGCUAGAGUCCGGAAGAGGAGAAUGGAAUUCCUGGUGUAGCGGUGAAAUGCGCAGAUAUCAGGAAGAACACCCGUGGCGAAGGCGGUUCUCUGGGACGGUACUGACGCUGAGACGCGAAAGCGUGGGGAGCGAACAGG